GACGAACGCUGGCGGCGUGCUUAACACAUGCAAGUCGAACGGUAAGGCCCUUCGGGGUACACGAGUGGCGAACGGGUGAGUAACACGUGGGUGAUCUGCCCUGCACUUCGGGAUAAGCCUGGGAAACUGGGUCUAAUACCGGAUAGGACCACUGCCUGCAUGGGUGGGGGUGGAAAGCUUUUGCGGUGUGGGAUGGGCCCGCGGCCUAUCAGCUUGUUGGUGGGGUGAUGGCCUACCAAGGCGACGACGGGUAGCCGGCCUGAGAGGGUGACCGGCCACACUGGGACUGAGAUACGGCCCAGACUCCUACGGGAGGCAGCAGUGGGGAAUAUUGCACAAUGGGCGCAAGCCUGAUCCAGCAACGCCGCGUGAGGGAUGACGGCCUUCGGGUUGUAAACCUCUUUCAGCAGGGACGAAGCGAAAGUGACGGUACCUGCAGAAGAAGGACCGGCCAACUACGUGCCAGCAGCCGCGGUAA
Molecule: ribosomal RNA, 478 nt
Filed under: uncultured bacterium
Lineage: Bacteria
Description: partial 16S ribosomal RNA
Rfam family: Bacterial small subunit ribosomal RNA
Source: RNAcentral